Molecule: unclassified non-coding RNA, 455 nt
Filed under: fungal sp.
Lineage: Eukaryota; Fungi
Description: partial internal transcribed spacer region
Rfam family: Eukaryotic small subunit ribosomal RNA (bases 1-46)
Source: RNAcentral
AAGUCGUAACAAGGUAUCCGUAGGUGAACCUGCGGAUGGAUCAUUAUCGUAUUACCACGUAUCAACCAAACCAGUGAACCUGUAUUUGAGCAUCGGUGGAAGUGAACUGUGACGCCCAUGACCGACUCUUUCUCUUGAACGCAGAAUGGUUGUGGAACGCCUCGAGGUUAGCACCUUCCGUUUUGGUGUUUGAUGAAGCAAUUCGUUGAACAUUGCUUUCGGGGGAAGGACCGAACAGUUCGUCUUUUUCGCCUUGUGUGAAAAAGAACAAACAUGCUAUGAACCGACUCAUCUUAUUUCCCUAAAAGCGACCCCACACCACAAAAGUACGUAAUAAACCGCGACUAAAUCCAUUUUCUUACUCCCGAAAGGGGGAAGAAAAUCGUAGAAAUACGAAACUAAGUAUAACUCUUAGCAACGGAUAUCUCGGUUCUCAUAACGAUGAAGAUCGCAGC